AUGCGAGGGCUGCAGGGCAACUACGUAGCCUCUGCCUGGUUGUGCAACAAGGAACAAAUACUGUACCAAAGCAUUGCACACAUGUGGGAGAGACUGCAGAUACGAAAACAAGGCGGAGAUGUGCGGAGAGAAGGAAAAUUAAUUUAUGGAACAGGAAUGCUGCAGGCAUCUGAUAGCCGAUGGAAUCCAGGUCCAAGCCCUGGCUCUCUUCUGCAGGAUGCCCAGUCUCCAAUGACUGCAGUAAAAAUCGAGGUGCAACGUCUGCUCUCCAGAUCACAACAUGAUAAGGGAGCAGAAGGAGAGCUGCGCAGUCACAACAGCUGCAUCUAGCUCUGAACAUUGCCUAGCUCUGGCGACCUGCCCCGUGUGUAGUCACUGUUGCCAGCCGGGAACGGGAAUGAAGGAGUAGGCAUACACUCUGAAGGAAAGUGAAGACUCACUCCUGCUCUGGCUUGGCUGUGCAAACGUCAUGGCAGAGGUGAGUUGUGAAAAUGUAGCUGUAGCUCUCCGAUUUUAUCAGACUCAUUAGUCUUCAGCGUACCAGAUUGCCCUAGGCACUGUGAGAGCUAAAAUCCAAAUCACGAAAGUGAACAGUUUGGUUGAUUUUUGCAAUGCUAAUCUUAAACUAUUCCUAAAUAAUGUGUCUCUGCUCCUCUCUCUGUAAAAAUGGACAUUGUGAUACCCAUUUCACAGGGGUACAAGACAACCAAAUUAAGUGAUAUUUGUAGAGCUCUAGACAUCCAAGAGCAAAUGGAGCAAGAGAGAAGAAAAGGUUAUUAUCUUGUCAUGUUUGGCCCGAGAGGAAGAUUAUCCAUCUAUCUUGCCAGACCUAUUUAUUGUCUUAUUUUUUCCCAUCUGAUCUUCUAUCAUCUUUCUAAUCUACUCCAUCUAAUCCAGCCAACAUUUUAUUUUAGCACAGUUCUCACUACGUGUUGAUGAAGGUGUUUGGCAACAGAGGUGUGUGCAUCUUUUACAUAACCUGACAAAGUGCAAUGCAGGUAGGUAGAACAAUAGAUGCUGAUUAAUAAAUUCUCAACUUUUAAAAAUAAAUUAGCUGAU
RNAcentral lists this long non-coding RNA (1059 nucleotides) under Apteryx rowi (Okarito brown kiwi). RNAcentral's name for it is "lncRNA (ENSARWG00000018632.1)". Lineage: Eukaryota; Metazoa; Chordata; Aves; Apterygiformes; Apterygidae. The record is from RNAcentral.